CCCAGCUGCCGCAGCAUGGAGCGCUCAAGCAAGAUGGAGUUCUUCCAGAAGCUGGGCUACAGCCGGGAGGAUGUGGUCAGGGUGCUGGGCAAACUGGGGGAGGGCGCCCUGGUCAACGACGUGCUGCGGGAGCUGAUCCAGACCGGCAGUCGCCCGGGGGCCGGUGAGGGCAGCGGGGCGCCCCUGCUCGUUCCCAGGGGCUCCUGCGCGGCCCUGGACUCUGUCCAGCGCAGGCCGGUGGCGGAGCUGGAAGAGGACUGCGGAGGCCCCGCCGGUUCCUUGCGACCCAUAGUGAUCGACGGCAGCAACGUGGCAAUGAGCCAUGGAAAUAAAGAAGCCUUCUCUUGCCGGGGAAUCCAGCUGGCUGUGGACUGGUUCAGGGACAGAGGACACACCUACAUCAAAGUUUUUGUCCCAUCCUGGAGGAAAGAUCCACCGAGAUCUGACACCCCUAUUAGAGAGCAGCACGUGCUGGAGGCGCUGGAGAGGCAGGCGGUGCUUGUGUACACCCCGUCCCGCAAGGUGAAUGGCAAGCGGGUGGUCUGCUAUGAUGACCGCUACAUUGUGAAGGUGGCCUACGAGCUGGAUGGGGUCAUCGUCUCCAACGACAAUUACCGCGACCUUCAGAGCGAGAACCCCGAGUGGAAGUGGUUCAUUGAGCAGAGGCUGCUCAUGUUCUCCUUCGUCAACGACCGGUUCAUGCCCCCUGAUGACCCCCUGGGCCGCCGGGGACCCACUCUGAGCAACUUCCUGAGCCGGAAGCCAAAGCCCCCGGAGCCAUCCUGGCAGCACUGCCCCUAUGGCAAGAAAUGCACCUACGGCGUCAAGUGCAAGUUCUACCACCCCGAGAGGCCGCACCUGGCGCAGCUGGCGGUGGCUGACGAGCUGCGAGCGCAGACGCGGGCUUGGCGAGGCGCGGAGGCGGAGCGGCUGAGGGGCGCGCGGGCGGCGGCGGCCGGGGCGGAGCAGGGGGGCCCCCGAGGAGCUUCCGCCGCGACCUGGCCGGGGGCCCCAGAGCCCGGCGCGCGCAGCCUGCCCUCGGCGCGGCUGGAGGCCGACGUGGCGGCGCUCGAAGGCGGCUUCUCGCGGCUCGCCUUCAGCGACGACCCGGGGCUCCUCGGGACGCCUCCUCGGGACGCCGGGCUCACGCUCCAGCCGCGCCGUCCGGAAUGGGUGGCGCGGGGUCCCUCUCCGACCCCGGCAGCCCCGCCUGACCUCCCGAGCCCCCGGGGCCCGUCCGGCCAGCCGACCCGGUCGCGCGGAGGUCACGUCCCGGGUGCCGCGCCCAGUGAGCUGCUCCCCCAGCGCAGAUGGCCCGCCGACGCGCGCGCCCUUCCCCCGGCGGCAGGCCAGUUCCCGGGCCGCUCGGCUUGGGCGGAACGCGGCUGGGGCUACGGCGCCUUCGGGGGACCGUCGGGGUCGCCGCCUCCCUCCGCUCCCAGCGAGGCGGACGCGCGCGCCCGGGCGCGCAUCGCGCUCUGCAGCAUCUUCCCGCCGCACCAGGUGGACAGCGUCAUGGCCAGGUUCCCCGCGCUCUCCGACGUCACCAGGCUCAUCCUUCUCAUCCAGAAAUUCCAAAGGUCUGGUGCGCCUGUGGGAAAAUCCUAAGGAACUCGCCAAUGCCACCGCAAGUGAUGUCCCAGCCUUGCCCUACCACUUGGGCAGGGUGGGUUGUCAGCCUGCUCCUGGGGCGAGCCUUUGUAAAGCCCCCUUUUCUUCAAAGAUGGUCAGGGAAGCCAGCUUCCUCACCCUCAGCUGGGCUCCUGGUGGCACUCGAUGACCCUCCCUGACACUGCAGGGCUUGUUGCUGGAGGUCAAUAAUGUUGGCCCCUUCCGGGAGGGGGUGAUGUCUUAUGUGUGGAAGUCUACAGGUCCCCUGACGGCUCCAAGAGUUUGUCUAGAAACACUCCAUGCCUGUUUUGACAAGCUGCACCUGGGAUCUACAAGGGGGUCACAAAGGUAAUUUUAUGGUUCACACCAGAAAGAGGAAAUCUCAGAGUGCACUGCAAGUAAUCAAGCCAGGUAUGAAACUCCUGUUCGUCAGCUUCAGGUGGGUGCACCUGUAUCCCCUUGGUACCCAUGUAAACCUGAAGUGUGUCCUGGAAAAAGCUUGAAAAAUCCUGGUACAUGGCCUUGAAUUUUAUUGUAUCAAAUCGCAUUUGACAUAUGUAGUCGGUUGGUUGAUGGAGAUUUCAGCAUCUGGAGGUUUUCAGAUGAGCCGUUUCUUACCUCAUGAGGGGAACCUAGAAUUCUAGCCUUGCUGUGUGGGCUCCACUUGUCACUCUGAGAUUGCGAUUGCUGGUCUGUGGGGGCGGGGCAGGGCCAUGGUGUCCUGAGGGUCUGCCCCUGGGGCCUUCAAACCACACACACACACACACACACACACACACACACCCACCCUUCUUGACUCAGGGACUUCCCUCAGGGCAUUUUCCAGCAAGCUCCUCUACUGGCUGAGUUUUCUAAUCUGCCCCUCACACGUGAGCCAAGGCCCAGUGAGUCAGGACUUGGGCCCAGGAACGUUGAGGUGGGUCAGUGAAGAGCUGAGCUGUCCUCAGUCAUGGAGGUUUAUUGGCCCUUUCCACCAUUGCUGUUUCUUCCAGCCAGUUACUGCUUUGAGUUUUGGGGCAAAGGGACCCACCCAUUUGCAAUGGGCAAGAAAUGAGACUGGGCUUCCCCAGUGUGGACCCUGCGUCCUCAGGGGGCCCUGGCAUCUCUAGGGGGCGUCUGCCAUUCACUCUGGGUUACAAGUCCAGUGGGGCAGGUCUUGGCUCAUUUGCUCAUGAGGGCCCUUGGUGGCUGGCUAUCCGGAAGAGUGUGAGGCACCUCCAAGUGGAAAAUCAGCUCCCAAGCCCCCGAAGUUUCCUGCAGACUGGGAGUGCAAAGGGAAACCCUUAGUGCACCACUCAGCUGUGGGCAUUGUUGGCACACACCAGGGUGUACCCCUGGGAGCCAGCCCAGGAGAGUCUGCAUCCAGCCCUCUGACUGACGGUCAAUGCUGCCAGUGGUGACAGAGUGACGUUGUGUCUCCCUGGGACCCCUUUCGUCUUUUUCAACCAGCCUCUUAGCACGCUUCAGCCUGAUCUGCUCUUUACUCCUUUUUCCCCAAAGAGGACACUGCACCCAGAGUUGUGUCUUAUUACCUGGGGACCUCAGUCCUGAAGAAGGUCAACUCUUUCUGGAAAAAUUGGAUUUCCCUCCCGGAAUUUUUUGUUUUUGUUUUCUUUUGGCAAGACAAGCUUUAUGUUAGAGCUGCUUUUGUCUCUCCGAUCUGUCUCCUGAUGUGGCCUUGUUGCAAGGCUGACUUACAGUUGGAAAUGUUUAAACUGCUUCCUUUGAGGACAAGCUUGAGUUUUAGUAAGCUGUAAAGCUAUUUUAUUUGGUUCACUAUGAUUAAGACAAGCACAAAAACAAGUGAAGAGACAGCACAUUUCAGUGUAAUCCCCUUUGGAAUCUUUUCCGAAGUCUUGGUAUGUCUUUAUGACACAAAACAUGGAUGGACGGGUGAGUGAAAAGUUCCUGGUCGCAUAACUGUUACCAUGAUUCAAAAAUAAAUCACUUUUAUCCAUAUCUGGACUGUUACCAAAUUGUAUAUCAUUUUCUCCUGUGUCUGCUUCUCCCCUCAGGUCAGGUUUUCACAUUCAAUAUUGUGGUUAUGAAGACGGAUGUAAUGGCUGCUUUAUGAGGUGUUAUUCCACUGUUGGGGGUCAGAGGCUGGAAUCUACCUUUUCCAGGGGAAACAUCAAGGCCCAAGGCGAGGACAGGCCUUUGCUGGAUUCUCAGUGGGCUAUUUCCAGGGCCUCUAGAAGAAAAGCUACCAAACCCGACGGAGUAUUCGUCCAAGAGCGCACGCAAGUACCGACACUGACCAUUAGGUGUCACUGUUGCACACAACAUGUACUGACCUGGGCUCCAGACGAUUGACAGCGCGCCAACAUGAUCCGCCUCCGACUUUCUGCAUCAUCCCGGGUUCCCAAAAGUCUAGCAGAGUCCGUCCUGAGGCCAGUAAUCAGUCAACCAUUGACGAUGAUUAUAAAAUAUAGGGAAAAUUUACCAAUGCUUUACACCUUGGCAGUUACAACUCUUUAAAAUGUAAAGAGCCAGUAUUUGGAGCAACUGGAAGA
Neogale vison (American mink) is the source of this 4124-nucleotide RNA transcript. It is a transcript of the gene named zinc finger CCCH-type containing 12D, with no coding region annotated. The record is from RefSeq and is a predicted model, not a curated record. NCBI's taxonomy places the organism in Eukaryota, Metazoa, Chordata, Mammalia, Carnivora, Mustelidae. The transcript is spliced from 6 exons.